GGACUCUGACCAGCCUGAGCGACGUGGAUCCUGAGAGCGCUUCUGGGUAGGCAUUUGCCCCAGUGGGAUGCCUCACCAGAGCAGUGUGUGGAAGGCCCCCAUGGAGUCUCAACACGGUGGCUGAACACCGGGAAGGAACUGGUAUUUGGAGUCCGGACAUCUGAAACUUGGUGCCCUGGUAGAUUCCUGAGAAAAGGAACAGGAGGAUGAGAGGUUCAAUGUUUUACACAUUGCUGGUCUGAUAGCUCAGCUUCAUUCACAGGGUUUGUGAGGCAAACAUGUUCCAAAGAAGGCCAGAAAAAGCCCAGCCAGGUUGAAUUCUGUGGAAAAUUCACCGAAAAGAUACAAUGCAUUUGAAACAAAACAAAACAAAACCAAAAAACACCUGCAGAAGUCCACUUGAAAAACCUGGGCUUAUUCACUCUCUGUGCCUCCCAUAUUCUAGAAGAUGUCUGCACAUAGAAUGUACAGAAAAAUGUCUGUCUUUGCCCAUGAUGGGAGAGGAAAGGCCAUUGUGUCUCUUGUUAGCAGAUCAAGAUUGGCAUUAGAGCUCAUCGAGGAGAACUGUGUCUUGACCAGCAUCCUUGAUCACUGAGGACACUGGUGGUCCUAUGUUGGUGAGGUGCCAGCUUUUCACACUCAGUCUUUUUCUAAUGCAGUCACUCCAGAGCCAUUUCUUAGCCAAUGAUCUCUGUCCUGUUGUCUCACAUAAAGUGAGCAGCCCCAUCUCUGUUACAUGAAAGACACUGAAGGAAUUAAAUCAGCUUGUCCAGCAGCAAGCUUCAGAGCCAAAUAUAAGCACACCUCAUAAUUCAGAG
RNAcentral lists this long non-coding RNA (818 nucleotides) under Homo sapiens (human). RNAcentral's name for it is "HSALNT0137310". The record is from RNAcentral. Lineage: Eukaryota; Metazoa; Chordata; Mammalia; Primates; Hominidae.